This is a small nuclear RNA of Macaca fascicularis (crab-eating macaque), 107 nucleotides long. Lineage: Eukaryota; Metazoa; Chordata; Mammalia; Primates; Cercopithecidae. The record is from Ensembl.
GUGCUGGCCUUGGCAGAACAUACACUAAAAUUGGAAUGACACAAAGAAGAUUAGCAUGGUCCCUGUGCAAGGAUGACAUGGAAAUUUGUGAAGCAUUCCAUAUGGGG